RNAcentral lists this ribosomal RNA (972 nucleotides) under Wolbachia sp. wMel_AMD. RNAcentral's name for it is "bacterial LSU rRNA". It matches the Rfam family "Bacterial large subunit ribosomal RNA", at positions 1945 to 2925 of the family's 2925-position model. Lineage: Bacteria; Pseudomonadati; Pseudomonadota; Alphaproteobacteria; Rickettsiales; Anaplasmataceae. The record is from RNAcentral.
ACGGUCCUAAGGUAGCGAAAUUCCUUGUCGGGUAAGUUCCGACCCGCACGAAUGGCGUAACGAUUUCUCCACUGUCUCCAACAUCACUUCAGCGAAAUUGAAUUCCCCGUGCAGAUGCGGGGUACCCGCGGUUAGACGAAGAGACCCCGUGCACCUUUACUAUAGCUUUACAUUGCUAUUAAAAGUGUGAUGUGCAGGAUAGGUGGGAGACUUUGAAGUUAUGGCGCUAGCUAUAAUGGAGUCAACCUUGAGAUACCACCCUUUACACUUUUGAUAUCUAACUAUGUUUCAUUAUCUGGAACUAGGACAUUGUAUGGUGGGUAGUUUGACUGGGGCGGUCGCCUCCUAAAAAGUAACGGAGGCGUGCGAAGGUAAGCUAGAGCUGGUCGGAAAUCAGCUUGAUAGUAUAAUGGCAUAAGCUUGCCUGACUGCGAGGCUGACAAGCCAAGCAGAGACGAAAGUCGGUCAUAGUGAUCCGGUGAUUCUGUAUGGAAGGGUCAUCGCUCAACGGAUAAAAGGUACGCCGGGGAUAACAGGCUGAUGGUGUUCGAGCGUUCAUAGCGACGACACCGUUUGGCACCUCGAUGUCGACUCAUCACAUCCUGGGGCUGAAGAAGGUCCCAAGGGUUCGGCUGUUCGCCGAUUAAAGUGAUACGUGAGUUGGGUUUAGAACGUCGUGAGACAGUUCGGUUUCUAUCUGCCGUGGGUGAAGGAAAUUUGAGAAGGUCUGACUCUAGUACGAGAGGACCGAGAUGGAUAUACCUCUGGUGUACCAGCUGUUAUGCCAAUAGCAUCGCUGGGUGGCUAUGUAUAGAUGGGAUAAUUGCUGAAAGCAUAUAAGCAAGAAACCCUCUUCAAAAAAAUUUCCCAAUUAAGGCCGUGGAAGACUACCACGUUGAUAGGCUAGGUGUGGAAGCAUGGUAACAUGUGAAGCUAACUAGUACUAAUAGCCUGAUUGAUUUAUUUGCUUUC